This 497-nucleotide ribosomal RNA is filed under the name uncultured bacterium. Its description in RNAcentral is "partial 16S ribosomal RNA". It matches the Rfam family "Bacterial small subunit ribosomal RNA", at positions 28 to 507 of the family's 1533-position model. The record is from RNAcentral.
GAUGAACGCUGGCGGCGUGCCUAAUACAUGCAAGUCGAGCGAACAGACGAGGAGCUUGCUCCUCUGCCGUUAGCGACGGACGGGUGAGUAACACGUGGAUAACCUACCUAUAAGACUGGGAUAACUUCGUGAAACCGGAGCUAAUACCGGCUCAUAUAUUGAACCGCAUGGUUCAAUAGUGAAAGACGGUUUUGCUGUUUCUUAUAGAUGAUUCCGCGCCGCAUUAGCUGGUUGGUAAGGUAACGGCUUACCAAGGCGACGAUGCGUAGCCGACCUGAGAGAAGGAGCAGGCACACUGGAAGUGAGACACGGUCCAGACUCCUACGGGAGGCAGCAGAGGGGAAUAUUGGACAAUGGGCGCAAGCCUGAUCCAGCCAUACCGCGUGGGUGAAGAAGGCAUUCGGGUUGUAAAGCCCUUUUGUUGGGAAAGAAAAGUAGCAGGUUAAAACCCCGCUGUGCUGACGGUACCCAAAGAAUAAGCACCGGCUAACUUCGUG